GCCGAUUUGAGGUUACGAAAAGGAAAGCUUAAAUUAUGGGAAGAGUGAUAAGUUUCGAGAUUGUGGUAUUUUCGGAAUUAAAUGAUGUGCCUUUUUCCGUUCUAACCGGCAUGAAAUUUCGAGGGCGAAAUUUUUAUAAGGAGGGGAGAAUGUAACAUCCCGUAUCGUCACUUACCCGUUUACUAGUCAUUUGGACGGUAAAUGACAAUUACUUUUACUUUUCACCCUAAUUUGGUAGUUUAGUGGCCCUAAAAGUUGACUUUUUGUUCGGGUCAAAAUUUGGGAAAAUGUUCUUCAUGGAAGUCGUAGAGGACGUUAAACCGAGCGCGUGCAUAUGUGGUACGUAAAAAUCGGAGCUCGUAUGCGAAAGUUAGAAGCGAAAAUGUAGAAGUUACUGUUCAUGGUAACUUUUGAUAAAAAUGGAAAGUUACCCGGGUAGGUUUCCAUUUCCGGAAACCACCCCGGCUCUUUCUCUCUCCUCUCCCCCGAGCUCUCUCUUCUCCGGUUCGGUCUCCUCCUCACCCCUCCGAUUUCCGGCGAUUCCGGCCACCACAGGGCGUGCCACCGGUCACCAGAGGAGCGCCUCCUCCCUCCGAGCACCCCAGCAGCCUUGGUUUUCCACGAUUUGGCCGGAAAACCACGGAUCGAAGCCUAAACCACUCCGGCUGCAGUUUGGGACUUUUGCCGAUUUCCGGCGAUUCCGGCCACCUCCGGUCCCCAUUUCGCCAUCGAAGGUUCGG
RNAcentral lists this long non-coding RNA (740 nucleotides) under Rosa chinensis. RNAcentral's name for it is "sRNA RchiOBHm_Chr2g0160951". Lineage: Eukaryota; Viridiplantae; Streptophyta; Magnoliopsida; Rosales; Rosaceae. The record is from RNAcentral.